UACAUUCAUGGCUUCUAUCAGAGCACAAUAACAUACAACAGCAGAACAAAUCAAUGACAAAAUUAGAUGGAGCCAAAUCAUCUCUAGCAGCCGCUUCUGCUCACUUGAAGACAAUCUUACACAAGUGCAGCCUGUUCCCUGCCUCUGUGUUUCCCAGGGACUCCUCAAACACACAUCAGGAAUCAGAUAUGGGCUAAACAGAACAAAAGACUGAUGGAACAAGAGAGCUUCAGGGGCAGGGGGCAGAUGACUUUGCUUCAUGGAGUGAAAUUAGACUGCCACUUAAGAUACAAACCAUUUCAGAUGCAGGACUCAGGUUCCUCCUGGAGCCUCCAUCAAUCCCAAUUCUAUGGGCAAUGGAACAGAUGUGGAAGUGGUCACGGAUUCCUUGCUGGAGUGCCAGUGCCAGACUGCCCCAGCACAAGCAGCAGGCUGCUACAAUUUGAAAGCAAUAGCAUUGUGAACAUGUAG
This 471-nucleotide long non-coding RNA is filed under the name Parus major (Great Tit). Its description in RNAcentral is "lncRNA (ENSPMJG00000011493.1)". The record is from RNAcentral. Lineage: Eukaryota; Metazoa; Chordata; Aves; Passeriformes; Paridae.